AGACACAGGUUCUGGCUAUGUUGCCCAGUCAGGAGUGCAAUGGCUAUUCACUGAUGCAGUCACAGUGUACUACAACCUUGAACUCAUGGCCUCAAGUGAUCCUCCUGCCUCAGCCUCCAGUAGCUAGGACUACAGAAAUACUGGCAUGGACAAUAAUGUAAAGCUCAUAACACACCACUGUGACAAGGACAUCAACUACAAAGAAGUGCCAUCAAUUGAAAUGGUCUUUAACAUUGAUAUGGUUACAUAGUAACCAACUUGAAAUUCCCUGAAAUAUUACAGAUCAUAUAUGAAAUAAAUGUUUUAGAGGUUUUUU
Molecule: long non-coding RNA, 316 nt
Filed under: Pan troglodytes (chimpanzee)
Lineage: Eukaryota; Metazoa; Chordata; Mammalia; Primates; Hominidae
Description: long non-coding RNA NONPTRT013298
Source: RNAcentral